AUGAAAAAUUUAUAGAACAUAAACAGUAAGAAAAUAUUAUGCACAAUGUCCCACCAUAAUUUCAGUAUAAAUUAUGUGAACAGAUCAACAGAAGUCUGGAGGCGAUGGCAAAAAAACAAAACAAAACAAAACAAAAGACCCCCCAAACCCCACGGAAAUAGCACGGUCCAUUAAGUUGAAUGAGGUGUUGAUAGCCCUGUAAUCAAUCUAAGUAAUCCUUCUCCUCUUAAUUUUUAUGCACCACCUGUCAAUUCUAGAUAUUACCAAUUACACUAAAUUAAAAAAAAAAAAUCCCCAAUUUUGAAAAUUCAGAAAGAAAACUGAAUACACCGAACAAGAGUUUGGACCAAAUUUUUGAGAAAGAUUCAUACACACCAAAUUAACUAGUUCUGUUAAAAGGCAGCUAUAAAAAUACACAUCAUCACAAGCUAUACGGAACUUUAAAAUCCAGUUAAGAUGGAGGGAGCCUGGAAUUUCUUAGUGUAUCUGGAGAGCACUGUAAACCCAAAGGUAGAAGCAUCUUAAGUAGAGAGCAUUUCAGCAUUCUGGCAUGUUCAGAGUUUCUAGUGUAUAGUAUCUCAUUAAUAUACAGAGCAUUUCAGAAGGUGGCUACGGCCAGGAAACCUCAGAGUGGGUUCUGUCGUCACACCUGAUCCCGCAGGCGGGCCAGUCUCUGGGACAGUUCAUCCUGCUCGGCGGAGGCCACGCUCGUGCCCACAGAGCCGGUCUGCCCCUGCGGCAGCUCCAUGUUGAGGUCUAGGCCGGCCUCGUCUGCCAUUUCCUGGAGCAGCAUAUCCACUUGGUUCUGGGGAGUGGUCAGCGUAGUCGUGCUGCUCAUCGUGUCUUCCAUUUGCUGCGUCUGGACGUCCAGCGUCUCAAACUGGUGCUCAAAUUUGUCCAUCAAAGCAGAGAUCUUCUCCAGAUUCAUAGUCUUCAACGUCGCAUCCAUCGACUUAACCACACCGGCCAUCGACUUGGUCACCUUGCCCAUCGUCACCGCGGUCUGGACUCUGGCAGCCACCGCAUCGACCCGCGCACUCAUUCUCAAGAAAUUCACCGCUUGGUUCUUCUGGCGAAUGGCAUUUUCGGCGUGUAUCCUCGCCACUUCCAUGUUGCCCUUCUGAAUGGCCUUUUUAAUCUUGGCCUUUUCGGCCUUUUCCUCCUUGUCGCAUUUUUUGGCACUCCUGCUGAGUUCUUUGGCGGCGAACUUUAGGUUGAACAGGUGUUUCUCCAUGUUGGACAUAGUCGGACGGUUCCUAGGGGUCUGUGGCCAGGGCCAAUAUGAGCGCGGAAGAGGGAGAAAGAGGCAGGUCCGCUCCCGGCCGCCGCUCCUUUGUUUU
Molecule: long non-coding RNA, 1340 nt
Filed under: Lynx pardinus (Iberian lynx)
Lineage: Eukaryota; Metazoa; Chordata; Mammalia; Carnivora; Felidae
Source: RNAcentral